Molecule: ribosomal RNA, 468 nt
Filed under: uncultured bacterium
Lineage: Bacteria
Description: partial 16S ribosomal RNA
Rfam family: Bacterial small subunit ribosomal RNA
Source: RNAcentral
GACGAACGCUGGCGGCGUGCUUAACACAUGCAAGUCGAACGGAAAGGCCCUGCUUUUGUGGGGUGCUCGAGUGGCGAACGGGUGAGUAACACGUGAGUAACCUGCCCUUGACUUUGGGAUGACUUCAGGAAACUGGGGCUAAUACCGGAUAGGAGCUCCUGCUGCAUGGUGGGGGUUGGAAAGUUUCGGCGGUUGGGGAUGGACUCGCGGCUUAUCAGCUUGUUGGUGGGGUAGUGGCUUACCAAGGCUUUGACGGGUAGCCGGCCUGAGAGGGUGACCGGCCACAUGGGGACUGAGGUACGGCCCAGACUCCUACGGGAGGCAGCAGUGGGGAAUAUUGCACAAUGGGCGGAAGCCUGAUGCAGCAACGCCGCGUGCGGGAUGACGGCCUUCGGGUUGUAAACCGCUUUCGCCUGUGACGAAGCGUGAGUGACGGUAAUGGGUAAAGAAGCACCGGCUAACUACGUG